Marmota flaviventris (yellow-bellied marmot) is the source of this 1734-nucleotide long non-coding RNA. RefSeq lists it as uncharacterized. The record is from RefSeq and is a predicted model, not a curated record. NCBI's taxonomy places the organism in Eukaryota, Metazoa, Chordata, Mammalia, Rodentia, Sciuridae.
GCAAGCAGCUCAUGGUCAAGGGGACGUGCGAGGGGCAGAGGGCAGCCCAGGUGCCCGUGCAGUGGGAGAUGAGGUGGUGGGGCAGAGGGACGCGCAGAUGGUCUGGGUGGAGUGACACAGAAAGCGUACCAGGUGGGGCGAGGUGGCCUGGGGCCCGGGAGAGCUGGGUGGAGCCUGAGGGCCCCGGGACCAUGCUUUGAAGGAGAGGAGCUGGUCGAAGCCAACGUCUGCAGCUGUCCCCAUGGCUGAGCAGGGGACAGACAGCGGACCAGUCCUGAAGUGGGCAGGGGUGUGGGGCCAAGUGGGGGCGUGGGGGGGCUCCCAGAGGCGCUGAGGACGAGGAACCGCCCCACCCUGUGGGCAGAGGGAUGCGGCAAAGAGACUUCCAGGUCCUGGCUGGGAGACAGGUGGGCACUCGAGGUGGGCAGAGGGGUGGCAGGUGCGAGGUGCUGUGGCCUAAGUGCUUGGGUCCCCAGGGUCAGACGGGGGAGCAGGGAAGCAGCCAUAGGUCCUCUGAGGGGCACGUGGAGGCCCUGCUCCUCCAGGAUCCCAGCAGCCCAGCGGCGGAGGGGAACUGGCCAGGGCCAUGCGCCCCUUGCCCUCUGCCCUCCGCCCUCCGCCCUCUGCCACGUGGGGCUGCAGAGACAAGCUGCCCGAGAGCCCUCACCAAACCCCAGAUCUGCCAGAGCCUUGGCCCUGGACUUCAGCUCUCAGAACUGGGGGAAAGGCAUUGCUGUCCUUUAUUAAUCCCAGGCUUGGCCUUCUGUUGGCAGGAGUGGACAUGGGCCCUCUCCAUGGGACAUGGGGCAGUGCGUCAGGGCCACACGCCGAGGGCCAGGUGUGGCAAGAUGGGUCAGAGUGGAUGGGGUGAUGCAGGAGGAGAGCCCAGGACCUGGGGACGGGAUCCAGGCGUGGACACCACACAAGGGGAGGGUGGCAGAACCGUGACUGCAUCCUGAGCAGCAGGGCACCAGUGGGCGCCAGGGCUCCGGCCUGGGCCAGGGGGCUCUGGCCUCACCGGGCAGGCUAUCGGGUGUCUGUGGCGUGGCUUGUCCUGGGGGAGCGAGAGGGCCUGGGUGAGGUGGCAGCGCCACACCUGGGAGCCAGGAAGCCACAGGGCACAGAGCCAGAGCCACCUGGCCGCUCACGGAAGUGUCCGCAGGACGGAGCAGCAGAGGGACGCGGAGGGGCUCAGGCCCAGGAGAGGGCCUCUGAGAACACGACUGAGAAUGAGCCAGGUCCUUAAAGAGGUGAUCAGGCUGAGACGCGUCACCAGGUGGCCCAUCAGGACAGACCCCGAGGACUGCGUGAGGACAUGGGGAGGAGACGCCGCGGCACCUGGACCCAGACUCCAGCCCCAGGACAGGGACAGUGGUGGCUGUCUGCUGCUGAAGCCCUCUGGGUCUGCUGUUGUGACUGCCGGGAGCUCACACAGAGUCAGUUUACAGGAAAGUUUCCGGAAUGAGAAUGGUACCAAGGAGCCGUGUGCCAGCACCCACACCCGCCCCAUGUCCCCUCUGUGGUCCUCUCUGCCUCUGCCGCUCUCUGUGCCUGACCGCUCCUAACCUCCUUGAAGAUUUACAGUCUGAGGGCGAAGACCCCCGCACUCAGCAACACCAGCAGGGGAACACUGAAGCGCCACUUUACCUCACCCCGGCUCUGUCCCGUGACCCGUGACCCUCUGCUUUAUUUUAUUUUGUUUGGACCAUUUAUGGAUUUCCUGGUGCAAAAGAA